UAGGGAAUCUUCGGCAAUGGACGAAAGUCUGACCGAGCAACGCCGCGUGAGUGAAGAAGGUUUUCGGAUCGUAAAACUCUGUUGUUAGAGAAGAACAAGGACGUUAGUAACUGAACGUCCCCUGACGGUAUCUAACCAGAAAGCCACGGCUAACUACGUGCCAGCAGCCGCGGUAAUACGUAGGUGGCAAGCGUUGUCCGGAUUUAUUGGGCGUAAAGCGAGCGCAGGCGGUUUCUUAAGUCUGAUGUGAAAGCCCCCGGCUCAACCGGGGAGGGUAAUUGGAAACUGGGAGACUUGAGUGCAGAAGAGGAGAGUGGAAUUCCAUGUGUAGCGGGGAAAUGCGUAGAUAUAUGGAGGAACACCAGUGGCGAAGGCGGCUCUCUGGUCUGUAACUGACGCUGAGGCUCGAAAGCGUGGGGAGCAAACAGG
Molecule: ribosomal RNA, 429 nt
Filed under: Gemmatimonadota bacterium
Lineage: Bacteria; Pseudomonadati; Gemmatimonadota
Description: Gemmatimonadetes bacterium partial 16S ribosomal RNA
Rfam family: Bacterial small subunit ribosomal RNA
Source: RNAcentral